ACAUGAAUGAAAAUAUAUAAAUCAAACCCCCAAAUCCUCACGGCUUCAAUCUCAAACUGUCUACUGUGGACCUCACUCCAUUCUUAAGGGGUCCUUAAAGGGGUGUGCAUAAGUUCACCAGCAUGCCUACCUUCCCGGUCUUACUGUCACCAUUUAUCAGUGUUUACUUCCUUUGUUCAUGUUUAUAUUCCUACCUAUACUU
This is a non-coding RNA of Pseudonaja textilis, 202 nucleotides long. NCBI's taxonomy places the organism in Eukaryota, Metazoa, Chordata, Lepidosauria, Squamata, Elapidae. The record is from RefSeq and is a predicted model, not a curated record.